Molecule: long non-coding RNA, 584 nt
Organism: Mastomys coucha (southern multimammate mouse)
Lineage: Eukaryota; Metazoa; Chordata; Mammalia; Rodentia; Muridae
Exons: 3
Source: RefSeq, a predicted model, not a curated record
UUGACUUCAUUUGGCCUGGUGCUGGAAUAUGAAGAACAAGGCUUCUAACAGUUCACUACCUGACAACCACGGUAGCUGCCACUCAGUCCGUAUCAUUUUCUGAAGAACUCUAAACCAAAGCUAUUGUUGCUGAGGCUCAUUCGGCUAAGACAGCAUCUCAUUUUGUAGCUCUGGCUGGCUUGGAGCUCCUUAUGUGGACCAUACUGUCACUGAACUCACAGAGAUCCCUCUACUUUCCAAACGUUGGGAUUAAAGCUGUGACCACAUCAUGGGGACCCCCACCAUGAAACCCAGAGUGGCCCCAAGUCUGAAAACCAAGCCUCAUUCAGCUGGUCUACAAGUUGUGGUGACAGCAAGCCAGGUUCCAAAAGUGAGACCAGAUAUGCACGCCAAGAAACACCACAAACAACCUCACCCCAGAUGCCUCCAUCCCACAAACACAGCAAAUGACCAUGACUGCAUGUCUCCUCCAGGAGCCAGCAUCCCCCUAUAGUAUUUACUGAGAAAAGCAACUUAGCCUGUCCAUAAGGUAAGGACUUAAACAGCAAUUAUAAAUAUGCUUGAAGUACUCAAAAGGAUACAUA